This is a long non-coding RNA of Agelaius phoeniceus (red-winged blackbird), 763 nucleotides long. RefSeq lists it as uncharacterized. Lineage: Eukaryota; Metazoa; Chordata; Aves; Passeriformes; Icteridae. The record is from RefSeq and is a predicted model, not a curated record.
GCCAGCUGAAUGUACCCUUGUUUAAAUUAAAUGUGGCUUUACAGUGACCCAGGCCAGGGUCACUCUGCACAAAACCCUUGAGAAUGCACAGCCCACGUACAGGGAAUUAGUGAGCAGAUACAAAUCAUGGUCUGUGAAUUACUGAACAAUGAGAAUGUCCUUGGAACCCCCAUCUAUAAUGGAUGAAGGAAACAACAGCUCCAAUAACAGAAGGAACUGGGAGGAGGAGGAAUGAGAGUGCUUGGCAUAAUGGGAAACAGCUUUGAGGAAACCAAGGAGCUUCUGUCCCACUUCCUUGUUCUCUUCUGAACAACUCUUAUGCUAGCCAACACAGAAAAAGAAAAGUGAAAGAAAAUCCCUUCUCCCUGCAGACUACAGAUGUAGGACUCACAAAAUCCAACUGGCUAGACACAGUCAAAACUGGAUGUCUGCAGAGCUCAGCUACUCUGAAACUCUCCUCUCCUGGAGCUGAUUUGUACCUUGGCUACUGAUUCCUGAUUCCAGCUGCUUCACCUGCUCCUGCAAGUCACCCUCCUGGCUGGACUGCUGGGCCAGGCUGUCUAAGGCACCUGCAUGCAUGACAUAAAUGGGACUGUCUCAGAGAGAAAACUUGCUACUGCAGGCCCCUCAAGCUCCUUUACAAAGCUCCCUUGGUUUCCAUUUCUCCCUUUGAGACACUGCUCCAGAAUCUCACUCCAGUGGUUGAAAAUCUAAUUUCCAGACUAAGUUUAUUAAUAGCAAAUUUGUACCACUUAGUCCUUGU